GAUGAACGCUGGCGGCGUGCCUAAUACAUGCAAGUCGAGCGAACAGACGAGGAGCUUGCUCCUCUGACGUUAGCGGCGGACGGGUGAGUAACACGUGGAUAACCUACCUAUAAGACUGGUAUAACUUCGGGAAACCGGAGCUAAUACCGGAUAAUAUAUUGAACCGCAUGGUUCAAUAGUGAAAGACGGUUUUGCUGUCACUUAUAGAUGGAUCCGCGCCGCAUUAGCUAGUUGGUAAGGUAACGGCUUACCAAGGCAACGAUGCGUAGCCGACCUGAGAGGGUGAUAGGCCACACUGGAACGGAGACACGGUCCAGACUACUACGGGAGGCAGCAGUAGGGAAUCGGCCGCAAUGGGCGAAAGCAUGACGGAGCAAGGCCGCGUGAGUGAUGAAGGUCUUCGGAUCGUAAAACUCUGUUAUGAGGGAAGAACAAAUGUGUAAGUAAAUAUGCACGUCUUGACGGUACCUAAUCAGAAAGCCACGGCUAACUACGUG
Molecule: ribosomal RNA, 497 nt
Filed under: uncultured bacterium
Lineage: Bacteria
Description: partial 16S ribosomal RNA
Rfam family: Bacterial small subunit ribosomal RNA
Source: RNAcentral